Molecule: transfer RNA, 74 nt
Filed under: Haplopteris ensiformis
Lineage: Eukaryota; Viridiplantae; Streptophyta; Polypodiopsida; Polypodiales; Pteridaceae
Description: tRNA-Phe
Rfam family: tRNA
About the family: Transfer RNA (tRNA) molecules are approximately 80 nucleotides in length. Their secondary structure includes four short double-helical elements and three loops (D, anti-codon, and T loops). Further hydrogen bonds mediate the characteristic L-shaped molecular structure. tRNAs have two regions of fundamental functional importance: the anti-codon, which is responsible for specific mRNA codon recognition, and the 3' end, to which the tRNAs corresponding amino acid is attached (by aminoacyl-tRNA synthetases). tRNAs cope with the degeneracy of the genetic code in two manners: having more than one tRNA (with a specific anti-codon) for a particular amino acid; and 'wobble' base-pairing, i.e. permitting non-standard base-pairing at the 3rd anti-codon position.
Source: RNAcentral
GUUUAGGUAGCUCAGUUGGUUAGAGCGAAGGACUGAAAAUCCUUAGGUCAGUGGUUCAAAUCCGCUCCUAAACG